AGGGCACCACCAGGAGUGGAGCCUGCGGCUUAAUUUGACUCAACACGGGGAAACUUGCCCGGCCUGGACACUGGAAGGAUUGACAGAUUGAGAGCUCUUUCUUGAUUCAGUGGGUGGUGGUGCAUGGCCGUUCUUAGUUGGUGGAGCGAUUUGUCUGGUUAAUUCCGAUAACGAACGAGACUCUAGCCUAUUAAAUAGGCUCUCGGCUUUUAAACGCCGGGAGGACUUCUUAGAGGGACAGGUGGCGGUUCAGCCGCACGAAAGAGAGCAAUAACAGGUCUGUGAUGCCCUUUGUUGUCCGGGGCCGCACGCGCGCUACACUGAAGAGAUCAGCGUGCUUUACGUUCCUGCUCCGACCGGAGUGGGGAACCCAGUGAACCUUCUUCGUGAUUGGGAUAGAAGAUUGUAAUUAUUCUUCUUGAACGAGGAAUUCCCAGUAAAUGCGAGUCAUAAGCUCGCGUUGAUUACGUCCCUGCCCUUUGUACACACCGCCCGUCGCUACUACCGAUUGAACGAUUU
RNAcentral lists this ribosomal RNA (519 nucleotides) under uncultured eukaryote. RNAcentral's name for it is "SSU rRNA". It matches the Rfam family "Eukaryotic small subunit ribosomal RNA", at positions 1161 to 1699 of the family's 1831-position model. The record is from RNAcentral.